RNAcentral lists this small nuclear RNA (22 nucleotides) under Arabidopsis thaliana (thale cress). Its description in RNAcentral is "snRNA_02081". Lineage: Eukaryota; Viridiplantae; Streptophyta; Magnoliopsida; Brassicales; Brassicaceae. The record is from RNAcentral.
AGAUCUAUCGUCGACUAUCACU